Molecule: ribosomal RNA, 1343 nt
Filed under: uncultured bacterium
Lineage: Bacteria
Description: 16S ribosomal RNA
Rfam family: Bacterial small subunit ribosomal RNA
Source: RNAcentral
GACGAACGCUGGCGGCGUGCUUAACACAUGCAAGUCGAACGGAAAGGCCCUGCUUUUGUGGGGUGCUCGAGUGGCGAACGGGUGAGUAACACGUGAGUAACCUGCCCUUGACUUUGGGAUAACUUCAGGAAACUGGGGCUAAUACCGGAUAGGAGCUCCUGCUGCAUGGUGGGGGUUGGAAAGUUUCGGCGGUUGGGGAUGGACUCGCGGCUUAUCAGCUUGUUGGUGGGGUAGUGGCUUACCAAGGCUUUGACGGGUAGCCGGCCUGAGAGGGUGACCGGCCACAUUGGGACUGAGAUACGGCCCAGACUCCUACGGGAGGCAGCAGUGGGGAAUACUGCACAAUGGGCGGAAGCCUGAUGCAGCAACGCCGCGUGCGGGAUGACGGCCUUCGGGUUGUAAACCGCUUUCGCCUGUGACGAAGCGUGAGUGACGGUAAUGGGUAAAGAAGCACCGGCUAACUACGUGCCAGCAGCCGCGGUGAUACGUAGGGUGCGAGCGUUGUCCGGAUUUAUUGGGCGUAAAGGGCUCGUAGGUGGUUGAUCGCGUCGGAAGUGUAAUCUUGGGGCUUAACCCUGAGCGUGCUUUCGAUACGGGUUGACUUGAGGAAGGUAGGGGAGAAUGGAAUUCCUGGUGGAGCGGUGGAAUGCGCAGAUAUCAGGAGGAACACCAGUGGCGAAGGCGGUUCUCUGGGCCUUUCCUGACGCUGAGGAGCGAAAGCGUGGGGAGCGAACAGGCUUAGAUACCCUGGUAGCCCACGCUGUAAACGGUGGGUACUAGGUGUGGGGUCCAUUCCACGGGUUCCGUGCCGUAGCUAACGCUUUAAGUACCCCGCCUGGGGAGUACGGCCGCAAGGCUAAAACUCAAAGGAAUUGACGGGGCCCCGCACAAGCGGCGGAGCAUGCGGAUUAAUUCGAUGCAACGCGUAGAACCUUACCUGGGUUUGACAUGGAUCGGGAGUGCUCAGAGAUGGGUGUGCCUCUUUUGGGGUCGGUUCACAGGUGGUGCAUGCCUGUCGUCAGCUCGUGUCGUGAGAUGUUGGGUUAAGUCCCGCAACGAGCGCAACCCUUGUUCACUGUUGCCAGCACGUUAUGGUGGGGACUCAGUGGAGACCGCCGGGGUCAACUCGGAGGAAGGUGGGGAUGACGUCAAGUCCUCAUGCCCCUUAUGUCCAGGGCUUCACGCAUGCUACAAUGGCUGGUACAGAGAGUGGCGAGCCUGUGAGGGUGAGCGAAUCUCGGAAAGCCGGUCUCAGUUCGGAUUGGGGUCUGCAACUCGACCUCAUGAAGUCGGAGUCGCUAGUAAUCGCAGAUCAGCAACGCUGCGGUGAAUACGUUCCCGGG